GACGAACGCUGGCGGCGUGCUUAACACAUGCAAGUCGAACGGAAAGGCCCUGCUUUUGUGGGGUGCUCGAGUGGCGAACGGGUGGGUAACACGUGAGUAACCUGCCCUUGACUUUGGGAUAACUUCAGGAAACUGGGGCUAAUACCGGAUAGGAGCUCCUGCUGCAUGGUGGGGGUUGGAAAGUUUCGGCGGUUGGGGAUGGACUCGCGGCUUAUCAGCUUGUUGGUGGGGUAGUGGCUUACCAAGGCUUUGACGGGUAGCCGGCCUGAGAGGGUGACCGGCCACAUUGGGACUGAGAUACGGCCCAGACUCCUACGGGAGGCAGCAGUGGGGAAUAUUGCACAAUGGGCGGAAGCCUGAUGCAGCAACGCCGCGUGCGGGAUGACGGCCUUCGGGUUGUAACCCGCUUUCGCCUGUGACGAAGCGUGAGUGACGGUAAUGGGUAAAGAAGCACCGGCUAACUACGUG
RNAcentral lists this ribosomal RNA (468 nucleotides) under uncultured bacterium. RNAcentral describes it as "partial 16S ribosomal RNA". It matches the Rfam family "Bacterial small subunit ribosomal RNA", at positions 28 to 507 of the family's 1533-position model. The record is from RNAcentral.